Molecule: ribosomal RNA, 487 nt
Filed under: uncultured bacterium
Lineage: Bacteria
Description: bacterial SSU rRNA
Rfam family: Bacterial small subunit ribosomal RNA
Source: RNAcentral
CAACGUGCCAGCAGCCGCGGUAAUACGUAGGGUGCGAGCGUUAAUCGGAAUUACUGGGCGUAAAGCGAGCGCAGACGGUUACUUAAGCAGGAUGUGAAAUCCCCGGGCUCAACCUGGGAACUGCGUUCUGAACUGGGUGACUAGAGUGUGUCAGAGGGAGGUAGAAUUCCACGUGUAGCAGUGAAAUGCGUAGAGAUGUGGAGGAAUACCGAUGGCGAAGGCAGCCUCCUGGGAUAACACUGACGUUCAUGCUCGAAAGCGUGGGUAGCAAACAGGAUUAGAUACCCUGGUAGUCCACGCCCUAAACGAUGUCAAUUAGCUGUUGGGCAACUUGAUUGCUUAGUAGCGUAGCUAACGCGUGAAAUUGACCGCCUGGGGAGUACGGUCGCAAGAUUAAAACUCAAAGGAAUUGACGGGGACCCGCACAAGCGGUGGAUGAUGUGGAUUAAUUCGAUGCAACGCGAAGAACCUUACCUGGUCUUGACAU